This is a long non-coding RNA of Camelina sativa (false flax), 369 nucleotides long. RefSeq lists it as uncharacterized. Lineage: Eukaryota; Viridiplantae; Streptophyta; Magnoliopsida; Brassicales; Brassicaceae. The record is from RefSeq and is a predicted model, not a curated record.
UUUNUAAAGAAAAUAUGAUUUCGAAGAGAGCUCAGGAAGAAUUGGAUAUCCGGGCACAACGUCAUAAGGAAAUGGUAUCCAAGGCGAUGCAUGAUCUGGGUGUGUCAGAUGAAUGAACUAUGGACAAAUCAAAAAAGAAAAAAGAUUCUCUGGUUGUUGAACCUUUUUUUUUUUGUUGUUAUAUAUUUGGAAUUUGCAACAUAAGUCCCCCCAUUGUAUAUGGCUCAAGUUUUUACUGCGCUAAGUUGAGAGAACACUUUGGACUUUUUUGGCUGAGUGUUAUGCUUCAAAAGUUGCAAUCUUGAACUGUAUAUUCUCUUUUGCACAAAAAAAAAAAAAAAAAAAAAAAAANGAACUGUAUAUUCUCUU